GUGGGGAAUAUUGCACAAUGGGGGAAACCCUGAUGCAGCAACGCCGCGUGAGUGAAGAAGUAUUUCGGUAUGUAAAGCUCUAUCAGCAGGGAAGAUAAUGACGGUACCUGACUAAGAAGCUCCGGCUAAAUACGUGCCAGCAGCCGCGGUAAUACGUAUGGAGCAAGCGUUAUCCGGAUUUACUGGGUGUAAAGGGUGCGUAGGUGGCAGUGCAAGUCAGAUGUGAAAGGCCGGGGCUCAACCCCGGAGCUGCAUUUGAAACUGCAUAGCUAGAGUACAGGAGAGGCAGGCGGAAUUCCUAGUGUAGCGGUGAAAUGCGUAGAUAUUAGGAGGAACACCAGUGGCGAAGGCGGCCUGCUGGACUGUUACUGACACUGAGGCACGAAAGCGUGGGGAGCAAACAGGAUUAGAAACCCUAGUAGUCCC
This 426-nucleotide ribosomal RNA is filed under the name uncultured bacterium. RNAcentral's name for it is "bacterial SSU rRNA". It matches the Rfam family "Bacterial small subunit ribosomal RNA", at positions 354 to 797 of the family's 1533-position model. The record is from RNAcentral.